UUGUAUGUAAAAUUAGUAAAUCUAAAGUAUUAAAUGGUAUAUCAUUAAAUUUAUGAAACUUGGCGGUAUUUUAUUCAGGUUAGAGGAAUCUGUUGUGUAAUCGAUGGUCCACGAUAGGAGUUACUUAAAUUUUUAUAUUUAUGUAUUGUUGUUUUUAAAUAUGUUAAAUAAGAUUUAGUUAGAAUGGAAAUUAUCAAGUAAUUCAAAUCAAAAUGUAGUAGAUAUUUAAGAAUUUAUGGGUUACAAUAAAAUGAAUUUAGAUGAAUUUGUGUUUUUAAAAGUAUAAUGAAAGUGGAUUUAAAAGUAUAAUAGUAUAAAAUUAUUUUAUUUGAAAUAGUUAUAAAAUAUGU
Molecule: ribosomal RNA, 350 nt
Filed under: Ceramius micheneri
Lineage: Eukaryota; Metazoa; Arthropoda; Insecta; Hymenoptera; Vespidae
Description: partial 12S ribosomal RNA
Source: RNAcentral